This is a long non-coding RNA of Gasterosteus aculeatus aculeatus (three-spined stickleback), 1016 nucleotides long. The record is from Ensembl. Lineage: Eukaryota; Metazoa; Chordata; Actinopteri; Perciformes; Gasterosteidae.
GUGAGGACACAGUGAGGGGCGCAGGGGCAGAGAGACGGGGACGGAGGAAGAGAGAGCCAGAGUUACAGAAAGGUGAGGGAGGGAGGGGGAGAGAGAGACAGAGAGAGAGAGAGAGAGAGAGGGUGACGAACAGGCAGAGAGGGAGAGGCUCUAGUCACACAGCUUCUUUUUCACAUCUGCUGCCAUCCCGGCGCAGGCGAACGCUGACGGGUGGCGUGUUAUCCGAGUAACGGUAACAGCGGCGGCAGCAUCACAAACGGAAGCAGGACCUCUCCUCUCCGCUCUGGCUCUUAGUCAUCCUCAGCGUCCUCUCUCCAUUCUCAGAGUGCUGUUAGGGCCAUUAAUCGUUCCCAUCUCAUGCCUCCUGCCUCCACCUCCUCCUCCUCCUCCACAGCUUCAUCCUCCACUUCUACUCCUCCUCUGAUGAGCCACAGCUUUAGAGUGAAAUAACCCUGCUGGUGCCAUGUGCGAUUGGCCAGCGCACCCCGUGGACGUGGCAUCGCCCUGGAUUUGGCGAGAAGCUCUCCCCGCUGCUUGUUCUCCAGCGCUCCUCCGGGAAGCAUUCGUGGGAUUUAUCUCUUUUCCUGCUGGAUGGCACUGAGCUCUCUGCCUCUCUGAGGAAAAAAGUCCAGAGAGAAGAUACACACUACACGGAGAAGAAGUAAAAUAAUUAUCCAAUCACAGCACAAGAAGGCAGACCAGGUUCCCUUAGCAACAACUGAAGGAGAGAAGAGAAUCCUUCUCUGUUUGUGCUCCCUUGGUUUUUGGGCACACCCCGGAGGACUGCUGUGGGUCAGUGUGUUCUGAGAGGACUUAGAGAGCGCCGUUGCAUAAGACAAGCUGCCACCCAAAUUCCAGGAAAAAAAGGUGCUCGCUUCUCCUUCCAGCCUCCUUUUUAAACUGUGUCUCAUCGACACCAUGAUUUUUUUGUUAUCCCUCCACAAAUUCUCAUCAGGGGUCACGUUUCGCCGGCUUGGAAAUCAAUUCAUCCUGAUCCCGAGCCACCUGGAAUAAGC